Molecule: ribosomal RNA, 471 nt
Filed under: uncultured bacterium
Lineage: Bacteria
Description: partial 16S ribosomal RNA
Rfam family: Bacterial small subunit ribosomal RNA
Source: RNAcentral
GACGAACGCUGGCGGCGUGCUUAACACAUGCAAGUCGAACGAUGAAGCCUAGCUUGCUAGGUGGAUUAGUGGCGAACGGGUGAGUAAUACGUGAGUAACCUACCUUUAACUCUGGGAUAAGCCCGGGAAACUGGGUCUAAUACCGGAUACGACCAAUCUCCGCAUGGGGUGUUGGUGGAAAGCGUUAUGUAGUGGUUAUAGAUGGGCUCACGGCCUAUCAGCUUGUUGGUGAGGUAACGGCUCACCAAGGCGACGACGGGUAGCCGGCCUGAGAGGGUGACCGGCCACACUGGGACUGCGACACGGCCCAGACUCCUACGGGAGGCAGCAGUGGGGAAUAUUGCACAAUGGGCGCAAGCCUGAUGCAGCGACGCCGCGUGAGGGAUGACGGCCUUCGGGUUGUAAACCUCUGUUAGCAGGGAAGAAGAGAGAUUGACGGUACCUGCAGAGAAAGCGCCGGCUAACUACGUG